This 73-nucleotide transfer RNA is filed under the name Cicadella viridis. RNAcentral's name for it is "tRNA-Leu". Lineage: Eukaryota; Metazoa; Arthropoda; Insecta; Hemiptera; Cicadellidae. The record is from RNAcentral.
UUAAUUUGCUAAUUUGGCAGAAAAAUUGUCUUAAAUUUAGAAUUUAAUUAUAUGAAUAAAAUUCAUAUUUAGC